GCGGCCUGAAGCGCCAGCGCCGGGGAGCAGCCCCCCUCUCUCCGAGGGAGCCGCGCGGCCGGCGGCCGGCCCGGCCGAGGCGGGAGCGCGGCCCUUUGGCGAUGCUGCGGCCGGCCGGCUGCUCGGUGUCGGGCUCCUCCGCCAGCGUCGAGCUGGAGUCGCGCGCCGGCCCGCUGUGGGGUCGGGCGUCCGAGGCCCAGCCGGCCCGAGAAGUAGGCUCGGUCCGAGCUGGACGCUGCAGGUUCUGACCUCGAAACGGGGGCCUGAGUCCUUCAAGAGCCUGGGGGCGAAGAGACGAGAAGGCGGCUGCAUUUUGCUGAAUGGUGGUGGUGUUUGGGGUUUUUUAAAAUCCUUUCUCCCCCAUUUUCCUUUUUACACUUUUUUUCUUUAAAAAAGAUUUUUUUUGGUCUUUGCUCUUUUAUUCGUUGGGGGAGUGAAUGCUGUCAGUGGCGAAGUAAAAUUAGGAAGGGGCCCUUGCCCGGCUGGCGCCUUCUCUGCGCGCUGACCUGCGGGCGAGGCUUGGGGCAGAGCUCGGCGGAGGGCGGAGGCCGCAAGUGGAGGGCCAUGCAGAUUGGAUCAAACCAGAAAUAAGGCUCUCUGUCCAGAAAAAGCCUUCACUGAAAGAAAUAACGUGCUUAAGGAAGGAACGUAUAAGUCAGGAAUUGAGCCAAGAAAAGCCUGCGAAGUAAAUAUUUGGCAGGGUCCCAGUCUGAAGGGGAAAGUCUCCCGAGCAGUUCUGGAGGCCAGAAUCUGAAAUCAAAGUGUCAACAGGGCUAUGCUCCCAGAAGCUUUAGGAGAGAAUCUGUUCCUUGGCUUUUCCAGUUUCUGGUGUGUGCUGGCAUUCCUGGGCUUGAAGGCACAAUCAGUUCAUCUUCAAUUGCCUUCUCUGGGGUCACACCCAUGGCCUUUAGAAGUUCCCCUGAGGCUAGGGGUCUAAUCAGAGAUACAGCUGUCGGCCUACACCACAGCCACAGCAACACAGGAUCUGAGCCUCGUCUGUGACCUACUGCACAGCUCACGGCAACGCCAGAUCCUUAACCCACUGAGCGAGACCAGGGAUCGAACCGGCAACUUCAUGGUUCCUAGUGGGAUUUGUUUCCACUGCUCCACAACUGGAACUCCAGAAAACAAAUUUUAAGGGCCACAGUGGCGUCCAUGUUGAGAACCCUGUACAGAGCAAGGAUAAACAUCGCAAGGCUGUAGGAAGCUCCUGCAGAGAUCAGGGCAGAGCUGAUGGUGCCUCCGACCAGGAUGACAGCAGUGGAGUUAUCAGUUGGAUGCCGAAUAAGCUUUCGUUUUGUUUUGUUUUGCGUUUGGUUUGGUUGGGGUUUUUUUGUUUGUUUUUUAGGGCUGCACCUGUGACAUAUGGAGGUUCUCAUGCUAGGGCUUGAAUCAGAGCUGCAGCUGGCCAUAACCACAGCAACAUGGGAUCUGAGCCACAUCUGUGACCUAUAGACGGCAACACCAGAUCUUUAACCCACUGAACGAGGCCAGGCAUCGAACCUGCAUCCUCAUGGAUACUGGUUGGGUUCCUUACUGCCAAGCCACAGUGGGAACUCCUGAAUAAGUUUUGAAGAUACAGCCACUGUGAUUGUUAUGAGACAUGAUGGAGGCAGUGAAUCAAAAAUAAUUCCAAAGUGUUUAUCUGAGCAAGUGAAAACAUGAAAAUGUUAUCAACUGAGGUGGGGGAGGCUAGAGGUGGAGUAGGUUUGGGGAAGUUAUGGUCUUGUUGAGUUUGAGAUUCCUAUUAAAUACCUGUGAGAUAUUCAAGUUGAGAUGUGGAGCAGACAGGUAUACAAGUCUGGAGAGAUGCCUAGUCUUGGUCUAUAAAUUUGAGACAUGUAAUUUGCAGGGCCCAGUGCAACAUGAAAAGGAGAGCCCCUUGUUAAACUAUUAAGAAUUUUCAAGAUUGCGACAGCAGAGCAUUAACAAAGUAUGGGGUUCUCCUUAGGGAGACGUGCGUUGUGCACCCAUGAAACUGACCUUGUUUGGGAGUCAUGGACAUAUGCAUGAUAUUUAAAGCCAUGAGAUUGGAUGAGAUCAUCAAAGGAAUAAGAUCAUCAAAGGAUGGAGAAGAGGACCAGAUAGAAUACAUUUAUAUUUCAAAAAGCAAAGGAAAUUCUGCAAAGGACUCUUCUGCCACAUCCAGACCCGGCUUAUCCAGUCUAUCAUCUUCAGUGACGUCUCUGCCAGUUAUCCUGAAUCGUCAGAUAAAUUCUUCUCUGUGGACAUUUGAAGCACGAGGAGGAAUGCAUGAUUAACUUUUAGAGAUGAGCAGUCUAGAAUACACGAACUGUAGAUUAUUAUGUCUAAAAUAUCUUUUUCUGAAGAGCAGAGGCUGUGGUCAUCGGGAUGAACAAAACUGACUACUUCUGCACGGUUGCCAAUGGAAACCAGAUAACUGGACUCUGACUGAAGCAGACAUGCCACCUUACGUCUUCCAUGAGAAGGACCGUAGGUUUCUGGCACAGUCCAAGUGUCCAGAGGAUUGUCAACACUCGUAUCAAUGGGCCCGUAGCUCCUGGAUUCCAGGGAGCUUUUCAAAUUGUGUAGAUUUCAAAGCAAUAAGUGGAGGUAAACCAAAGCAGACACAGGCCCUCCAACAAGCUUGUCAAGUUUGUCUCAAUGUGGAGAAGCAAAACCAAACUGACAGAUUCUUAACAAUCUGGACCAAUUUUCAAGAUCUCUCUCUUACAGCCAAAGGAAGUUGAAAUUUACACCAAUCCAAGGUUGUUUUGGAGACUAUUUUUGUGGACCAAAUUUACUCAGAAGUUUUAUGAAAACAGCUACACAUUCACUUCCAACUUGAACUAGUGAAGUGCUUUAAAAUCCUUUAAAUCUGAUAAACAAUGAGAUCCUGCUGUCUAGCCUUGGGAACUAUAUCUAGUCACUAUGACGGAACAUGACGGAGGAUCAUGUCAGAAGAUGAAGGGGACCAAUGAGAGUAUUGGGGACUAAAUGAUUCUCCCUCCAAAAUACCUCAUGUGAUGGUAGAAAUAACUGGAUACAGAUGAAAUCAUGGAAAUGGGACCUACAUGCAUAAGAGCAAGAAGAUAGCCAUUGACAAGCAGCAAGAGGGUCCUCACCAGAAGCUGAAUCUACUAGCACCUUGACCUUGGACUUCCUGGCCUACUGAACGCUGAGAAAUAAAAGUCUUAAGUCUGUGGUA
This 3169-nucleotide long non-coding RNA is filed under the name Sus scrofa (pig). RNAcentral describes it as "lncRNA (ENSSSCG00050066872.1)". The record is from RNAcentral. Lineage: Eukaryota; Metazoa; Chordata; Mammalia; Artiodactyla; Suidae.